UACGUAGGGUCCAAGCGUUAUCCGGAAUCACUGGGCGUAAAGCGUGCGUAGGCGGCGUGUUAAGUGUGAUGUUAAAUCGUGUGGCUCAACCAUACCGAUGCAUCACAUACUGGCAUGCUAGAGGAAGGCAGAGGCAAGUGGAAUUUGUAGUGUAGCAGUGAAAUGCGUAGAUAUUACAAGGAACACCAAUGGCGAAGGCAGCUUGCUGGGCCUUUUCUGACGCUGAGGUACGAAAGCGUGGGGAGCGAACAGG
This 253-nucleotide ribosomal RNA is filed under the name uncultured bacterium. Its description in RNAcentral is "partial 16S ribosomal RNA". It matches the Rfam family "Bacterial small subunit ribosomal RNA", at positions 524 to 776 of the family's 1533-position model. The record is from RNAcentral.